GCCGCGGUGGCGGAAUUGGCAGACGCGCUGGACUUAGAAUCCAGUCUUGAGAAAGGUGGGAGUUCGACUCUCCCCCGCGGCA
Molecule: transfer RNA, 82 nt
Filed under: Candidatus Omnitrophota bacterium
Lineage: Bacteria; Pseudomonadati; Candidatus Omnitrophota
Description: tRNA-Leu
Rfam family: tRNA
About the family: Transfer RNA (tRNA) molecules are approximately 80 nucleotides in length. Their secondary structure includes four short double-helical elements and three loops (D, anti-codon, and T loops). Further hydrogen bonds mediate the characteristic L-shaped molecular structure. tRNAs have two regions of fundamental functional importance: the anti-codon, which is responsible for specific mRNA codon recognition, and the 3' end, to which the tRNAs corresponding amino acid is attached (by aminoacyl-tRNA synthetases). tRNAs cope with the degeneracy of the genetic code in two manners: having more than one tRNA (with a specific anti-codon) for a particular amino acid; and 'wobble' base-pairing, i.e. permitting non-standard base-pairing at the 3rd anti-codon position.
Source: RNAcentral